UAGGGAAUCUUCCACAAUGGGCGAAAGCCUGAUGGAGCAACGCCGCGUGUGUGAUGAAGGGUUUCGGCUCGUAAAACUCUGUUGUUAAAGAAGAACAUAUCUGAGAGUAACUGUUCAGGUAUUGACGGUAUUUAACCAGAAAGCCACGGCUAACUACGUGCCCG
RNAcentral lists this ribosomal RNA (164 nucleotides) under uncultured bacterium. RNAcentral's name for it is "partial 16S ribosomal RNA". It matches the Rfam family "Bacterial small subunit ribosomal RNA", at positions 355 to 511 of the family's 1533-position model. The record is from RNAcentral.